This 509-nucleotide ribosomal RNA is filed under the name uncultured bacterium. Its description in RNAcentral is "bacterial SSU rRNA". It matches the Rfam family "Bacterial small subunit ribosomal RNA", at positions 340 to 849 of the family's 1533-position model. The record is from RNAcentral.
UACGGGAGGCAGCAGUGAGGAAUAUUGGUCAAUGGACGAGAGUCUGAACCAGCCAAGUAGCGUGAAGGAUGACUGCCCUAUGGGUUGUAAACUUCUUUUAUACGGGAAUAAAGUGAGCCACGUGUGGCUUUUUGUAUGUACCGUAUGAAUAAGGAUCGGCUAACUCCGUGCCAGCAGCCGCGGUAAUACGGAGGAUCCGAGCGUUAUCCGGAUUUAUUGGGUUUAAAGGGAGCGUAGGCGGGUUGUUAAGUCAGUUGUGAAAGUUUGCGGCUCAACCGUAAAAUUGCAGUUGAUACUGGCGACCUUGAGUGCAACAGAGGUAGGCGGAAUUCGUGGUGUAGCGGUGAAAUGCUUAGAUAUCACGAAGAACUCCGAUUGCGAAGGCAGCUUACUGGAUUGUAACUGACGCUGAUGCUCGAAAGUGUGGGUAUCAAACAGGAUUAGAUACCCUGGUAGUCCACACAGUAAACGAUGAAUACUCGCUGUUGGCGAUAUACUGUCAGCGGCCA